GAUGAACGCUGGCGGCGUGCCUAAUACAUGCAAGUCGAGCGAACGGGCGAGAAGCUUGCUUCUCUGAUGUUAGCGGCGGACGGGUGAGUAACACGUGGAUAACCUACCUAUAAGACUGGGAUAACUUCGGGAAACCGUAGCUAAUACCGGAGAAUCUUUUGAACCGCAUGGUUCAAAAGUGAAAGACGGUCUUGCUGUCACUUCUCGAUGGAUCCGCGCUGCAUUAGCUGGUUGUUAAGGUAACGGCUUACGAAGGCGACGAUGCGUGGCCGACGGAAGGGGGUGGUCGCCGACACUGGAACUGGGACACCCUCCUGGCGCCUGCGAGAGGCAGCAGUAGGGAACGGUCCGCAGCGGUCGAAAGCCUGACGGAGCAACGCCGCGUGAGAUAUGGAGGUCUUGGGAUCGUAAUACUCGGUUAUUGGGGAAGAACAGAUGUGGAAGUUGCUGUACACAGAGUGACGGUACCGAAUCAGAAAGCCACGGCUAACUACGUG
RNAcentral lists this ribosomal RNA (497 nucleotides) under uncultured bacterium. RNAcentral describes it as "partial 16S ribosomal RNA". It matches the Rfam family "Bacterial small subunit ribosomal RNA", at positions 28 to 507 of the family's 1533-position model. The record is from RNAcentral.